RNAcentral lists this ribosomal RNA (495 nucleotides) under uncultured bacterium. RNAcentral's name for it is "partial 16S ribosomal RNA". It matches the Rfam family "Bacterial small subunit ribosomal RNA", at positions 28 to 507 of the family's 1533-position model. The record is from RNAcentral.
GACGAACGCUGGCGGCGUGCCUAAUACAUGCAAGUAGAACGCUGAAGGAGGAGCUUGCUUCUCUGGAUGAGUUGCGAACGGGUGAGUAACGCGUAGGUAACCUGCCUGGUAGCGGGGGAUAACUAUUGGAAACGAUAGCUAAUACCGCAUAAGAGUAGAUGUUGCAUGACAUUUGCUUAAAAGGUGUAAUUGCAUCACUACCAGAUGGACCUGCGUUGUAUUAGCUAGUUGGUGGGGUAACGGCUUACCAAGGCGACGAUACAUAGCCGACCUGAGAGGGUGAUCGGCCACACUGGGACUGAGACACGGCCCAGACUCCUACGGGAGGCAGCAGUAGGGAAUCUUCGGCAAUGGACGGAAGUCUGACCGAGCAACGCCGCGUGAGUGAAGAAGGUUUUCGGAUCGUAAAGCUCUGUUGUAAGAGAAGAACGAGUGUGAGAGUGGAAAGUUCACACUGUGACGGUAUCUUACCAGAAAGGGACGGCUAACUACGUG